Molecule: ribosomal RNA, 497 nt
Filed under: uncultured bacterium
Lineage: Bacteria
Description: partial 16S ribosomal RNA
Rfam family: Bacterial small subunit ribosomal RNA
Source: RNAcentral
GAUGAACGCUGGCGGCGUGCCUAAUACAUGCAAGUCGAACGCAUAGCGAAAGGUGCUUGCACCUUUCAAGUGAGUGGCGAACGGGUGAGUAACACGUGGACAACCUGCCUCAAGGCUGGGGAUAACAUUUGGAAACAGAUGCUAAUACCGAAUAAAACUUAGUGUCGCAUGACACAAAGUUAAAAGGCGCUUCGGCGUCACCUAGAGAUGGAUCCGCGGUGCAUUAGUUAGUUGGUGGGGUAAAGGCCUACCAAGACAAUGAUGCAUAGCCGAGUUGAGAGACUGAUCGGCCCCAUUGGGACUGAGACACGGCCCAAACUCCUACGGGAGGCUGCAGUAGGGAAUCUUCCACAAUGGGCGAAAGCCUGAUGGAGCAACGCCGCGUGUGUGAUGAAGGCUUUCGGGUCGUAAAGCACUGUUGUAUGGGAAGAACAGCUAGAAUAGGAAAUGAUUUUAGUUUGACGGUACCAUACCAGAAAGGGACGGCUAAAUACGUG